AUUCUGUUCAGGAUAAUGUAAAUUGUUCAGAAAAUUGUUUUCUUAGUACCUGUUGGAAUGUUACAUAAUUUUUUUUAGCCAUCAUUGCCAGAAUUCCUAUAUUCAUCCCAGUGCCGGUGAAGACAAAGAUAAAACCAAACUACAGCUUCUUCGAUAGCUAUCACAGUAAACUGUAUAAACUGAUGCAUCAAUGAAUAAUAACUCAACAAGUAAUGCUCAAUCAAGGAGUCAAUUUACUUUGGGAGGAAAUGGACAUAUUGAUAGAUUCCUCUGCUUUGAACUGCUUGCAGAACUUGCCUGGAGUAUGUAUCACUUGUAUACAUUGUGAACUAUCUGUUGGUGCAGCAAAUAGUGGUAGUGCUGGAGUAUCUUUGCUGAUGGUGUCACCGGUGGUACAAUUUUUCCAAAGGAGCCAUCAAUUGGCUUGGUGUCGUGGCAUUUCUGUAUCCUCCUCCCUUCUGCUAGUGAUGGUCUAAAAUUUGGGGGCCAACAGAGGUGAGGCAAAGAACCUCACCC
RNAcentral lists this long non-coding RNA (516 nucleotides) under Marmota monax (woodchuck). Lineage: Eukaryota; Metazoa; Chordata; Mammalia; Rodentia; Sciuridae. The record is from RNAcentral.